CCUACUAUUAAAGCAUAGCAUCUCAUUAACCACCUCUCUCUGUCCCAUUCGCAUUUAUUCUCCCUCCUUCCGUCCUUUUGAGUCACUGGUAUGUUCGUUCUGGCUCCGACAUAACGCCCGUUAUAACAGAAUUAACGGCCAUUCCCCCACAAUGGACCUAUCUAUCUAUCGUUAUGCCCCUGGUUUCACCGUUCAAGAACGACAGUACCGCUGAAGCGGAUAACGGCGUUAUUGGAACGUAACUGGCUACAGCUGUUGGCCAUGUAGUACCGG
RNAcentral lists this long non-coding RNA (273 nucleotides) under Elaeis guineensis (African oil palm). RNAcentral describes it as "long non-coding RNA (EGUI_LNC025653)". Lineage: Eukaryota; Viridiplantae; Streptophyta; Magnoliopsida; Arecales; Arecaceae. The record is from RNAcentral.